UACGUAGGGUGCGAGCGUUGUCCGGAAUUAUUGGGCGUAAAGGGCUCGUAGGCGGUUUGUCGCGUCGGGAGUGAAAACUCAGGGCUUAACCCUGAGCCUGCUUCCGAUACGGGCAGACUAGAGGUAUGCAGGGGAGAACGGAAUUCCUGGUGUAGCGGUGAAAUGCGCAGAUAUCUGGAGGAACACCGGUGGCGAAGGCGGCAUCCUGGACCGAGAUUGACGCUGAGGCGCGAAAGCUAGGGGAGCAAACGGG
Molecule: ribosomal RNA, 253 nt
Filed under: uncultured bacterium
Lineage: Bacteria
Description: partial 16S ribosomal RNA
Rfam family: Bacterial small subunit ribosomal RNA
Source: RNAcentral